RNAcentral lists this unclassified non-coding RNA (1636 nucleotides) under Leishmania donovani. RNAcentral describes it as "gene:LdHU3.35.6230(CDS-product:small_nuclear_RNA_ gene_activation_protein_(SNAP)_50_putative)". The record is from RNAcentral. Lineage: Eukaryota; Euglenozoa; Kinetoplastea; Trypanosomatida; Trypanosomatidae.
CGCCGUCACCGGUCAGCUGGAAUCAGGACAAGGAAAGCGCUUACGGUGCACCUGUUCACCACAUAAAAUACUUCUUGCGCUUUCUCCCUCCCUUCCCCCUGUUCUCUCCGUCGCAGCGAUGCACGCAAACGUAUCGCCUGGCCGCUCCUUCCGUGUUGACCCGUUCACCUUCCUCGUGCCAGGCGGCCCCGGCCAUCAUGGUAGCAAUGGAUCCUCGCCGGCUGAACCGAUGACCCUGCGCCGGAUAGCGCACGAGGUGGUCGGCAUUCCUAUAGAAGAACUGCGCGCCGUAAAUGAGGACCCGCUGGCGAGCAUGCCCGCCGAUGCGGUUCUCGAGCCCGGCACGAAGGUGAGGUUGCCUGUGGUCUUGGACUAUCAGGGCAGUCCCUACGGAAUGACGCUGCACUUGGGUAGUGCCGAGGCGCAGCUGCAGGACUGUGAGGCGCUCCUCGACUCUCUCGUGAGCUCGUGGGAGGGCGAAUAUGGCUCUCACAGUUUGGAGUGCCUUCCUCCACGUAAGGUGUGCUCGCAGACGGAGGCGGUGUUGGCCAAGGUGCACGAGGAGGCGAUUCGGCAACUGCCCAAGGUCGACGCGGGUCUUCAGCGGUUGGGGAGCAGAGAGUCAAAGCUGCCGCUUCUGGUGGAAGUCGGGGCGAUCAAGGCAGCCGAGCGCGCCAUUGAGGAGUCGUUCCAGCGAGCCGUCGCGGGGCUCGAGAGUUUCAAGAAGGAAAAUGAAGCUUGUGGAAGAGUCGCCCCGGCAUCGUUGAGCUCUAACGACCUCACCCCGGCUUCCCUUCACACGAAGCGCGACGAGGGCGAAGACUACUGCGUCCUGCACACGCAUCGGUGGGAGUUCGCGGUUCAUGGAGUGCGCUCGAAGGAACCGCGCGAGGUUUGGGCGGUGCUCUCCUGCCAGCCGCUCGUGGCGCUGCUGGACGCGAUCGACUGCCCGGCAACACGAGACCCGCUCACCACCUCCCGAAAUGCCUUCUUCUUCAUCCACGGCGUCUUCUACAUCGACGACCGGCAUCGAGCACAAGCGGACUUUGUCGACCUCAGCGAGGUUAUCCGGGGGAACGAUCCUUUGCAGGACGCGUCGAGCUUUCACGCUCCCGAGCACCAGGGCUUUUCUCGGUGCCCCGUGAAGAGCGCAGCAGAGACCGCGUUCAAGGACCUCAACAUCAAGAUGGGUGAGUCGUGCCUGCUGCGGCACUGCGGCGGAUGCGACCACUACUUCUUCCUGUCGCAUGCCCGAAGCCUAAGCGGCUACCCGCGCAAGGAGCGACAUGAGUUCCCGCACCGUGUGGCCAAAGUACGAGACCAGGCAAGGCGGUGUCUGCUCUGUCGAUUGUUUCCGGCCACGAUCGCGCUCUACGAGGACCCACUUUCACCUGAGAGUCCGGCCUUUUACUGCGCGGUGUGCUUUGAUCUUCUACACAGCGGCGACACCCCCGAGGAGGCGGCGCAGUACCAGCGGCGCGAAGCGAAGGACUUUGGUGAGGUUUACUUCAAGGCGACGUAGCCUUCCACCCAGCGCACACGCGCCCCCUUACUUUGGCACCGUUUAGCGUCUUUCUCGUCCACAGCGACGGCUGCGUGUCGGCAACGAGUGUCUUGAAUCGUUCCAAACUUACAC